Nematostella vectensis (starlet sea anemone) is the source of this 614-nucleotide long non-coding RNA. RefSeq lists it as uncharacterized. The transcript has 2 exons. Lineage: Eukaryota; Metazoa; Cnidaria; Anthozoa; Actiniaria; Edwardsiidae. The record is from RefSeq and is a predicted model, not a curated record.
ACCCAUGCUAGAAGAAAAGACGACUUAUUACCUCACUAAUGCUAUGGACGAUGGAGAGCACCCCGGAGCUAUAGAAACACUACAUAUGCAAGCCAGUGUGAAGAAGCAGAUAUUUACAAUCACGAGUUAAGAUGCGAAAGAGAGCCGCUUCUUCUCGCCGCCUGAGAUGCCGCGAAUUCUUCCUGGUACGCCAAUCAAUGUGUCUGCACAUCGCCGUAAGCCGAGCUGUAAAACAUUAGAGAAUGGGAUUGUUUUGAUAACCAUUUUGGCUCACAUGUGGAGACUUGCUCCAAGUCGACCUCAGCGGAAAUUCCGGAAUUUAAGCAAGCAGCGAGGCUCGCUUUUUAUCGCUCUAAAGGAAAGUCUAGCUCACAUAUAUGAUGAUAAUAUUCAUUGAUCAGUUGUUAGCUCAAGGAUUGCUCUACCGUGACGAUUCAUUGAAAAUAUCUCACCUCAUCCAAAAUCUGCUCAACUCUUUCUAGUCGCUGUCUCUUGGUGAAAUGCUUCUCCAUCCUAAGCAAGGCCUAAAACACAAAACACAAAAUGUAACAGUAUUGUACAUAGCACUAUCUUGGCUCAAGGUGAACACAUUAAAUUAACUGAGUACUAUAUCA